AACGAACGCUGGCGGCAUGCCUAACACAUGCAAGUCGAACGAGACCUUCGGGUCUAUUGGCGCACGGGUGCGUAACGCGUGGGAACCUGCCCUUAGGUUCGGAAUAACUCCCCGAAAGGGGUGCUAAUACCGGAUAAUGUCUUCGGACCAAAGAUUUAUCGCCUUUGGAUGGGCCCGCGUUGGAUUAGCUAGUUGGUAGGGUAAAAGCCUACCAAGGCGACGAUCCAUAGCUGGUCUGAGAGGAUGAUCAGCCACACUGGGACUGAGACACGGCCCAGACUCCUACGGGAGGCAGCAGUGGGGAAUAUUGGACAAUGGGCGAAAGCCUGAUCCAGCAAUGCCGCGUGAGUGAUGAAGGCAUUAGGGUUGUAAAGCUCUUUUAACCGGGAUGAUAAUGACAGUACCGGGAGAAUAAGCUCCGGCUAACUCCGUG
RNAcentral lists this ribosomal RNA (433 nucleotides) under uncultured bacterium. RNAcentral describes it as "partial 16S ribosomal RNA". It matches the Rfam family "Bacterial small subunit ribosomal RNA", at positions 29 to 507 of the family's 1533-position model. The record is from RNAcentral.